AUAAGCUUCCACGGGGAAACUGAGAAUGGCUCAUUAAAACAGUUAUAGUUUCCUUGGCGGUCAUUCAUUAUAUGGAUAACCGUGGUAAUUCGAGAGUUAAUACAUGCGUCCAAACCCAACUUUGGGGAAGGGUUGUGUUUAUUAGAAACAGAACCAACCCCGGCCGGCGUGGGUGGAUGGUCAUGAAAAUAAACAAGGGAAUCGCGCUUGCGGCGGCGAUGAAUCAUUCAAGUUUCUGACCUAUCAGCUUUCGACGGUAGGGUAUUGGCCUACCGUGGCAAUGACGGGUAACGGAGAAUUAGGGUUCGAUUCCGGAGAGGGAGCCCGAGAAACGGCUACCACGUAUAAGGGAGGCAGCUGGC
RNAcentral lists this ribosomal RNA (362 nucleotides) under uncultured marine eukaryote. Its description in RNAcentral is "bacterial SSU rRNA". It matches the Rfam family "Eukaryotic small subunit ribosomal RNA", at positions 68 to 433 of the family's 1831-position model. The record is from RNAcentral.